AGGGGUAUAGCUUAGUGGUAAAGCACUUGCCUAGCAUGUUGGAAGCCCUGGGUUCAAUCCCCAGCACUACAA
This 72-nucleotide transfer RNA is filed under the name Ictidomys tridecemlineatus (thirteen-lined ground squirrel). Its description in RNAcentral is "Spermophilus tridecemlineatus (thirteen-lined ground squirrel) tRNA". It matches the Rfam family "tRNA". From Rfam's summary of the family: Transfer RNA (tRNA) molecules are approximately 80 nucleotides in length. Their secondary structure includes four short double-helical elements and three loops (D, anti-codon, and T loops). The record is from Rfam by way of RNAcentral. Lineage: Eukaryota; Metazoa; Chordata; Mammalia; Rodentia; Sciuridae.